UUGCCUCUCUCCUCAUUAACUACUUGCCACAUCACCAUUUUUGCUUAUGUGGCAUCUAUGUUACUACCUAUGUUACUCCCACUAUGACCAGCCUUAGUUUUGGAUUAACAUUUGCAGGCGUAGGCUAAAUAUAUCAGAAAAUUGUCAUUCCCUUUUGAGUGUCGAUGAUUUUCUUAUCUCAAUUGUUGUACCAUGAUGCAAUUCAUAUUCCGGUCAUUGCGGUGUGAGUGGUCAUGGCGAUGCUGCCUCCCUUGCUAGGCUAGCAGCGACGACAUUGUCUGCAGGUUUGGGUUUAUUUUGGUUGGGUGUGUGCAGACGGGGAGCGCACCAGAGGAGGUGAGCAAUCCCAUUUCUAGUGCUUUUAGUUCUAAUCAAUUUCCACUUCAUUUUGCUUUGUCGCGUUCUUCCCAAAUUGCCAAAUUGGUGUUCAGAGUUCAGUUCUUGCAUAAGCUGCACAUUGGAGAUAUCAGGAGACUGAACACAUCCUGCCAGAAGAGUUCUAGAUACAUCCAUCUUCGAGACAAGUAAUUCCGAACGGAGGGAGUAAUUGGCCACGAAUUGGCAAAGAUUUUGUCAGGUUGCAGUGAGGCUACUGUGCGUGUGGCAUGGAAGAUCAACACUAAGAUUGAUUGGUCAGAGGUUCUGAGUCCAUCAAAGAAGCUAACUAUGGCUGAAUGAAACUUGUCCUUUACCUGAUUCACUAGAGAAGUUUAGGCCUGUAAAAAUCAGAUGUAUAUUACGAAGCUGCUCCUAUGUACAUAUCUGAAGAUUUUCUUUACUGUCCAGAGUCAUUGUACCGUACUUGCUUAUGACUGCUUGAACAUUUAAUUUUAUUAGCAUCGUC
Long non-coding RNA from Triticum dicoccoides, 844 nucleotides. RefSeq lists it as uncharacterized. The transcript has 3 exons. NCBI's taxonomy places the organism in Eukaryota, Viridiplantae, Streptophyta, Magnoliopsida, Poales, Poaceae. The record is from RefSeq and is a predicted model, not a curated record.